GACCUGCKGAGAGAUCAUUA
Molecule: ribosomal RNA, 20 nt
Filed under: Sticta sp. TW-2018m
Lineage: Eukaryota; Fungi; Ascomycota; Lecanoromycetes; Peltigerales; Lobariaceae
Description: partial small subunit ribosomal RNA
Source: RNAcentral